CCUUCCUCUUCUUAUAUUCAGGGUUUUCUUUUGUUUGUUUGUUUUCAGACGGAGUCUUGCUCUACCGCCCAGGCUGAAGUGCAGUGGCACAAUCUCUGCUCACUGCAACCUCCAUCUCCUGAAUUCAAGCGAUUCUCCUGUCUCAGCCUCCCAUGUAGCUGAGUUUACAGGAGCCCACUACUACAACUGGGUAAUUUUUCUAUUUUUAGUAGAGGUGGAGUUUCACUAUAUUUGCCAGGCUGGUCUCGAACUCCUGACCUGAAGUGAUCCACCUGCCCUGGCCUCCCAAAGAGCUGGGAUUACAGGUGUGAGCCACUGCGUCUGACCUCAGCUCCUUCUUGACAAUACUUCCUCUAUGUCUCCGACUAGUCUUUAAUAUCAAUUUAGAUCUGUCUCUCCUUCCACUUCAAUUUGUUCAUUUCUUUGUCCUACCAUUGCCAUACCCAUCUGCAAAUUCUCCACCGAAGAUGUAGCUAUCUGCUAGAGGUAAACAUCAUUCCAAAAUCAUGGCCAUUGGCACCACCAUUGAUGUCUGGCCUACCCCUGGCUGGGCACUCAGCACCACCUCAGUUCUUACAAAUGUCCCCAGCCAGCUCACUUCUCUAAUUAUGCAAAGUAACACUUCCCACCUCUUUAGAACCCUGAUCCCACUCCCACCUGGCUUGCUUUCAGCAAACAAACUCUUUUCCCCCAAUAAAGAACACAGUAGCUAUCAGAAGGAAAUUCUAUUUCCUGUCCCUGCACCAGAAAAAUAUAUCUAUUCUCCACUUCUCCCUUCCUACCUCAGAGGUACCUCUUUUUCUGUGCACUGUAGAUUCCCUCUCUUCC
RNAcentral lists this long non-coding RNA (828 nucleotides) under Homo sapiens (human). RNAcentral describes it as "HSALNT0142641". Lineage: Eukaryota; Metazoa; Chordata; Mammalia; Primates; Hominidae. The record is from RNAcentral.